GAUGAACGCUGGCGGCGUGCCUAAUACAUGCAAGUCGAGCGAACAGACGAGGAGCUUGCUCCUCUGACGUUAGCGGCGGACGGGUGAGUAACACGUGGAUAACCUACCUAUAAGACUGGGAUAACUUCGGGAAACCGGAGCUAAUACCGGAUAAUAUAUUGAACCGCAUGGUUCAAUAGUGAAAGACGGUUUUGCUGUCACUUAUAGAUGGAUCCGCGCCGCAUUAGCUAGUUGGUAAGGUAACGGCUUACCAAGGCAACGAUGCGUAGCCGACCUGAGAGGGUGAUCGGCCAUACUGGAACUGAGACACGGUACAGACUCCGACGGGAGGCAGAAGUAGGGAAUCUUCCGCAAUGGGCGAAAGCCUGACGGAGCAACGCCGCGUGAGUGAUGAAGGUCUUCGGAUCGUAAAACUCUGUUAUUAGGGAAGAACAAAUGUGUAAGUAACUAUGCACGUCUUGACGGUACCUAAUCAGAAAGCCACGGCUAACUCCGUG
This 497-nucleotide ribosomal RNA is filed under the name uncultured bacterium. RNAcentral describes it as "partial 16S ribosomal RNA". It matches the Rfam family "Bacterial small subunit ribosomal RNA", at positions 28 to 507 of the family's 1533-position model. The record is from RNAcentral.